UCAAAUGAAUUGACGGGGGCCCGCACAAGCGGAGGAACAUGUGGUUAAUUCGAUGAUACGCGAGGAACCUUACCUGGGCUUAAAUGGGGAGUGACAGCUGUCGAAAGAUGGUUUUCUUCGGACACUCUUCAAGGUGCUGCAUGGUUGUCGUCAGCUCGUGCCGUGAGGUGUCGGGUUAAGUCCCAUAACGAGCGCAACCCUUACCGUUAGUUACCAUCAGGUUAAGCUGGGGACUCUAGCGGGACUGCCACCGUAAGGUGAGAGGAAGGUGGGGAUGACGUCAAAUCAGCACGGCCCUUAUGUCCAGGGCUACACACGUGUUACAAUGGCCAGUACAAAGGGCAGCUACCGGGUGACCGGAUGCUAAUCUCUAAAGCUGGUCUCAGUUCGGAUCGAAGUCUGCAACCCGACUUCGUGAAGCUGGAUUCGCUAGUAAUCGCGCAUCAGCCAUGGCGCGGUGAAUACGUUCCCGGGCCUU
RNAcentral lists this ribosomal RNA (478 nucleotides) under uncultured Sphingobacteriales bacterium. Its description in RNAcentral is "bacterial SSU rRNA". It matches the Rfam family "Bacterial small subunit ribosomal RNA", at positions 901 to 1382 of the family's 1533-position model. The record is from RNAcentral. Lineage: Bacteria; Pseudomonadati; Bacteroidota; Sphingobacteriia; Sphingobacteriales.